RNAcentral lists this ribosomal RNA (569 nucleotides) under uncultured Ascomycota. Its description in RNAcentral is "eukaryotic LSU rRNA". The stretch from base 170 to 323 matches the Rfam family "5.8S ribosomal RNA". The record is from RNAcentral. Lineage: Eukaryota; Fungi; Ascomycota.
CAUUACAGAGUUUAGGGUCCCUUGUGGGCCCAAACCUCCAACCCCCCUUGGUGUUUACUACCCUGUUGCUUCGGCAGGCCCAAUGGGUUUUACCUGCCGGAGCCUUAGUGUAACAAUCUGUUUAAUGAAUUGGUUAGUCUGAUCCUUCUGGAAAACAUAGAAUUGUUAAAACUUUCAACAACGGAUCUCUUGGUUCCCGCAUCGAUGAAGAACGCAGCGAAAUGCGAUAAGUAAUGUGAAUUGCAGAAUUCAGUGAAUCAUCGAAUCUUUGAACGCACAUUGCGCCCCUUGGUAUUCCGAGGGGCAUGCCUGUUCGAGCGUCAUUGCACAAUCUCUCAAGCGCCUAGCUUGGUGUUGGGUCUUCGUCCCUCCCUCCCUUCUCCCUACUGUUCGGGUAGAGGGAAGAGGACCCGGACGUACCUAAAAAUUAGUGGCGGUGCCCCCAUGUUGGUCUCAAGCGUAGCAGACUCUCUCUCGCUUUGGAUGACCUGUCAUGUUAGCUCACCAGCCCCUGCAUGUAUGCAUGCAUCUUUAACCAAUGUUUGACCUCGGAUCAGGUAGGGAUACCC